RNAcentral lists this ribosomal RNA (253 nucleotides) under uncultured bacterium. Its description in RNAcentral is "partial 16S ribosomal RNA". It matches the Rfam family "Bacterial small subunit ribosomal RNA", at positions 524 to 776 of the family's 1533-position model. The record is from RNAcentral.
UACGUAGGGUGCGAGCGUUAAUCGGAAUUACUGGGUGUAAAGCGUGCGCAGGCGGUUUUGUAAGCCAGAUGUGAAAUCCCCGGGCUUAACCUGGGAAUGGCAUUUGGGACUGCAAGGCUUGAGUGCGGCAGAGGAGACUGGAAUUCCUGGUGUAGCAGUGAAAUGCGUAGAUAUCAGGAGGAACACCGAUGGCGAAGGCAGGUCUCUGGGCUGACACUGACGCUCAUGCACGAAAGCGUGGGGAGCAAACAGG